Molecule: non-coding RNA, 2307 nt
Filed under: Pan troglodytes (chimpanzee)
Lineage: Eukaryota; Metazoa; Chordata; Mammalia; Primates; Hominidae
Source: RNAcentral
GUCUUAGUCCUCUGAUUAUUUUUUCUUUUUUCAGAACCUGAGAAAGAUGAAUGAAAUUUAGUGUUUCCCAUCCCUGAGAGACACCCAGCAUCCACAACUUCACACUCUGAUGCCAUUGUGUAUUUAUGCGAGGAAUACCAUAACUAAGAUGAGGUCUCGCUAUGUUGCCUAGGCUAGUCUUGAACUCCUGGCCUCAAAUGAUCCUUCUGCUUCAGCAUCGGGAGUCACUGGGAUUAAAGGCAUGAGCCACCAUGCUCAGGAACUUGACAUCAUCAGACAGUAAAUCAAGAGGUACUGACAACUGAGACUGAGUGAUGGUCCCUGCCUAGGAUUUGGAAUCUUUGCAUGAAAUAGGGACUCUAGCCACCAGUGACAAAGAAGUCAGGGAGACUGCGGUCUCUAGGAAGCACUUCCAGGAAACAGGAAUUCAGGCAAAGUUGGACAUUCCAAAGAUGGCGUAGAUGAACAUGACCAGGAAGAGCAGGAGGCCGAUGUUAAACAACGCAGGAAGGGACAUCAUCAAAGCAAAGAGCAGCGUGCGGAUCCCCUUUGCUCCUUUGACUAGACGUAGGAUUCGGCCAAUCCUGGCAAGACGGAUCACUCGGAACAGGGUAACAGAGAUCUCUGGAGGUGAAACAUUGCUCUGAACUGGCAUUGAUUCUAGCCCAGCUCUUGUAGACCAAUUACCAACUUCUCCAUCUCCCUCCAGUGCCUGGAACUGGACCUGGCACACAGGCCUCUGGCUCAUCGGAAUUCAUAGGUUCAGCCUCUGCUUCUUCUCCUUCUCCAGGCAAAGGGUUAUCAACUGUGCUGCACUCUGAGGAGCUUGACUGGUUUAAUCUCUAGAAAGGAAUUCACCACCCCACCAGCACGCGGAACACAAUCAGGAAGGAGUGGAAGAAGUCGUUCAUGUGCCACCGUGGGAGCGUACAGUCAUCAUUGAUCUUGCAGACACAUUCUUUGUAGCUCUUACCAAAGAGCUGCAUGCCGACCACAGCAAAAAUGAAGACGAUGAUGGCCAACACUAAGCCUUUAGACUAAAAAGAAAACAAAUAUUACAUACCCUGAAUCUGUGCUGAAACCACAAAGGAGAGCAUCUUUGGAUCCCUCCAAGUAAUAAAAGUAUUCUGUUGAAGAAGAAUUUGAACAGUUAUAACAUUACAGACUUUAAUCUGUGAUUGUGGUAAAGGAGGUCAAAUUAAAAAAUCUGAUUAUUGGGAGACUUUUGGAGUAAUCAUGGAAGAAAGACUAUGAAAUCAGAUAUUCUUGGAUUUGAAUGUUGCUUCUAUCCCUUCUUAACUUAAAUCCAUGGGCAUUCAUUAUCAUCAGUCCCUAACCUGGCAGAACCACAGUCUACACAUAAUCUAGCAUCUGUCUUUUCCAUGCUAGCUACCAAAUGGCUGAAUGUUGGUGGAGAAACUCUCACAACCAAGUGAAUGGUUAUAUUUUAAUUUCGCUCUUGUUGCCCAGGCUGGAGUGCAAUGGCACGAUCUCGGCUCACCGCAACCUCUGCCUCCCGAGUUCAAGCGAUUCUCCUGCCUCAGCCUCCUGAGUAGCUGGAAUUACAGGCGCCCACCACCAUGCCCGGCUAAUUUUUUGUAUUUUUGGUAGAGACGGGGUUUCUUUUUUUUUCUUCUUUUUUUGUAUUAUUUUUUAGCAAAAAAAAAAAAAAAAAAUACAUGAAGCAAUUCCAGAAAGCGAUGAAUUAAAUUAAAUUUGAUUAAAGGCUGUCUGUGUACAUAGAGAAUUGCAAUCUAACUUCAUAUGUAAACAAACUGCAUUCUAAUCUGUUAGUAUAUUCUUGUAACAAGUAGCUGUCUCAGCCAAUCACAGCAGCUGAGCUUCAGCCAACCACAGCCUGCUGACUUAUCAGACAAUGUCCACAUAAGGCAAAUGUCAAGCUAUAAGCAAUCAAGCUGUUUUUGUGUGUCACUCCCUUUUUCUAUCUAUAAAUACUCCUGCUCAUGUUGCUGAGUUGAGCUCUCCGAACUUCUCUUGGUUCUGAGUGCUGCCUAAAUCAUUAUUAUUAUUAUCUUAUUUCAGCAAUAAAUACUAUUUCUUGCUGAAAUAAGCUGCUAAAUUUAAUUGGUUGAAAAUUUUUCUUUUAACAAAGGUUAAGAAAACCAUUCAUAGUAUAAACUCAGAAAUAGGAGCAAGACUCAGAAUAAAAGGACAGAUCCUAGGGAGAAAACUUAAGUUUAAAUAAGUGUGGUAAAAUAAUCUACAAUAUUAAAUGUAAGUUACUCAUCAGAUAUAUUAAUUUUACAGCAUAUAAAUUAAGAAAUAAAAUUCUCCAUCAAUUGGAAA